CCAAUAGCGUAUAUUAAAGUUGUUGCAGUUAAAAAGCUCGUAGUUGAAUUUCGGGAUCAAUAUGUUGGUCGUGCCUUGGUACGUACUGGCGUCAUUGGUUUCUACCUUCUGAAGGACCUCGAUGUCAUUAAUUUGGUGUCUUGGGGAAUCAGGACUGUUACUUUGAAAAAAUUAGAGUGUUUAAAGCAAGCUCACGCUUGAAUACAUUAGCAUGGAAUAAUGAAAUAGGACGUUUGAUUCUAUUUUGUUGGUUUCUAGGAUCGACGUAAUGAUUAAUAGGGAUAGUUGGGGGCAUUAGUAUUCAAUUGUCAGAGGUGAAAUUCUUGGAUUUAUUGAAGACUAACUACUGCGAAAGCAUUUGCCAAGGAUGUUUUCAUUAAUCAAGAACGAAAGUUAGGGGAUCGAAGACGAUCAGAUACCGUCGUAGUCUUAACCAUAAACUAUGCCGACUAGGGAUCGGAUGAUGUUAAUUUUUUAAUGACUCAUUCGGCGCCUUACG
This 499-nucleotide ribosomal RNA is filed under the name uncultured Glomeromycotina. RNAcentral describes it as "partial small subunit ribosomal RNA". It matches the Rfam family "Eukaryotic small subunit ribosomal RNA", at positions 591 to 1092 of the family's 1831-position model. Lineage: Eukaryota; Fungi; Glomeromycota. The record is from RNAcentral.